UGCGGUGGUUAUAGCGGUGAGGAUCCACCUCUUCCCAUCCCGAACAGAGAAGUUAAGCUCACUAGCGCCGAUGGUACUGCCCCACCAGGUGGGAGAGUAGGCAGCUGCCGCUU
Molecule: ribosomal RNA, 113 nt
Filed under: Bacteroidales bacterium
Lineage: Bacteria; Pseudomonadati; Bacteroidota; Bacteroidia; Bacteroidales
Source: RNAcentral